UACGUAGGGGGCAAGCGUUAUCCGGAUUUACUGGGUGUAAAGGGAGCGCAGACGGAACUGCAAGUCUGAUGUGAAAGCCCGGGGCUCAACCGCGGGACUGCAUCGGAUACUGUAGAUCUGGAGUGCCGGAGGGGCAAGCGGAAUUCCUGGUGUAGCGGUGAAAUGCGUAGAUAUCAGGAGGAACACCGGCGGCGAAGGCGGCUUGCUGGACGGCAACUGACGUUGAGGCUCGAAAGCGUGGGGAGCAAACAGGAUUAGAUACCCGGGUA
Molecule: ribosomal RNA, 269 nt
Filed under: uncultured prokaryote
Description: partial 16S ribosomal RNA
Rfam family: Bacterial small subunit ribosomal RNA
Source: RNAcentral